GGGGAGCAACACACGAUUGAGAUACCCUGGUAGUCCCCGCUCGUAACACGAUGUCUAUUUGGAGGCUUGUGCCCCACGAGGCGUGGCUCUCCGGAGCUAACGCGUUAAAUCGACCGCCUGGGGAGUACGGCCCGCAAGGUUAAAACUCAAAAUGAAUUGACGGGGGCCCGCACAAGCGGUGGAGCAUGUGGUUUAAUUCGAUGCAACGCGAAGAACCUUACCUGGUCUUGACAUCCACAGAACUUUCCAGAGAUGGAUUGGUGCCUUCGGGAACUGUGAGACAGGUGCUGCAUGGCUGUCGUCAGCUCGUGUUGUGAAAUGUUGGGUUAAGUCCCGCAACGAGCGCAACCCUUAUCCUUUGUUGCCAGCGGUUAGGCCGGGAACUCAAAGGAGACUGCCAGUGAUAAACUGGAGGAAGGUGGGGAUGACGUCAAGUCAUCAUGGCCCUUACGACCAGGGCUACACACGUGCUACAAUGGCAUAUACAAAGAGAAGCGACCUCGCGAGAGCAAGCGGACCUCAUAAAGUAUGUCGUAGUCCGGAUUGGAGUCUGCAACUCGACUCCAUGAAGUCGGAAUCGCUAGUAAUAGUAGAUCAGAAUGCUACGGUGAAUACGUUCCCGGGCCUUGUACACACCGCCCGUCACACCAUGGGAGUGGGUUGCAAAAGAAGUAGGUAGCUUAACCUUCGGGAGGGCGC
This 699-nucleotide ribosomal RNA is filed under the name Klebsiella pneumoniae. RNAcentral's name for it is "bacterial SSU rRNA". It matches the Rfam family "Bacterial small subunit ribosomal RNA", at positions 763 to 1453 of the family's 1533-position model. Lineage: Bacteria; Pseudomonadati; Pseudomonadota; Gammaproteobacteria; Enterobacterales; Enterobacteriaceae. The record is from RNAcentral.